Molecule: ribosomal RNA, 450 nt
Filed under: uncultured bacterium
Lineage: Bacteria
Description: partial 16S ribosomal RNA
Rfam family: Bacterial small subunit ribosomal RNA
Source: RNAcentral
GUGGGGAAUAUUGGACAAUGGGCGAAAGCCUGAUCCAGCCAUGCCGCGUGUGUGAAGAAGGUCUUCGGAUUGUAAAGCACUUUAAGUUGGGAGGAAGGGCAGUAAGCUAAUACCUUGCUGUUUUGACGUUACCGACAGAAUAAGCACCGGCUAACUUCGUGCCAGCAGCCGCGGUAAUACGAAGGGUGCAAGCGUUAAUCGGAAUUACUGGGCGUAAAGCGCGCGUAGGUGGUGUUGUAAGUUGGAGGUGAAAUCCCCGGGCUCAACCUGGGAACUGCCUCCAAAACUGCAUGACUAGAGUACGGUAGAGGGUAGUGGAAUUUCCUGUGUAGCGGUGAAAUGCGUAGAUAUAGGAAGGAACACCAGUGGCGAAGGCGACUACCUGGACUGAUACUGACACUGAGGUGCGAAAGCGUGGGGAGCAAACAGGAUUAGAAACCCGAGUAGUCC